This 448-nucleotide ribosomal RNA is filed under the name uncultured Planctomycetota bacterium. RNAcentral's name for it is "bacterial SSU rRNA". It matches the Rfam family "Bacterial small subunit ribosomal RNA", at positions 217 to 656 of the family's 1533-position model. Lineage: Bacteria; Pseudomonadati; Planctomycetota. The record is from RNAcentral.
GCCUAGAGAGGGGUCAAUGUCCUAUCAGCUAGUUGGUAGGGUAAUGGCCUACCAAGGCUAAGACGGGUAGCCGGCCUGAGAGGGUGGUCGGCCACACUGGGACUGAGACACUGCCCAGACUCCUACGGGAGGCUGCAGUCGAGAAUCUUUCGCAAUGCCCGAAAGGGUGACGAAGCGACGCCGCGUGUGGGAAGAAGGCCUUCGGGUUGUAAACCACUGUCGGGAGUUAAGAAAUGCAAGGGUGUUAAUAGCAUCCUUGCUUGACUAAGGCUCCGGAGGAAGCCACGGCUAACUCUGUGCCAGCAGCCGCGGUAAUACAGAGGCGGCAAGCGUUGUUCGGAAUUAUUGGGCGUAAAGAGCACGUAGGCGGCUUUGUAAGUCAGUUGUGAAAGCCUUCUGCUCAACGAAAGAACAGCAUCUGAUACUGCAAGGCUAGAGUGCGGAAGGG